This 381-nucleotide ribosomal RNA is filed under the name uncultured eukaryote. RNAcentral describes it as "partial 18S ribosomal RNA". It matches the Rfam family "Eukaryotic small subunit ribosomal RNA", at positions 592 to 976 of the family's 1831-position model. The record is from RNAcentral.
CAAUAGCGUAUAUUAAAGCUGUUGCGGUUAAAAAGCUCGUAGUUGGAUUUCUGUCAAGGACAACUGGUCCGCCCCUCGGGUGAGCACAUAGUUUGGUCUUGGCAUCUUGUUGGAAACUGUUGCUGCACUUGGUUGUGUGGCGCAGUGUCCAGCACUUUCACUUUGAGGAAAUUGGAGUGUUUCAAGCAGGCACAUGCCUUUGGACACAGUAGCAUGGAAUAAUUAGAUUGGGCUUUUGCUCCAACUUGUCGGUUUCUGGAGCUGAGGUGAGAAUUAAUGGGGAUUGUUGGGGGCAUCCGAAUUUAGCCGUCAGAGGCGAAAUUCUUGGAUCUGCUAAAGACGGACAACUGCGAAAGCGUUUGCCCAGGAUGUUUUCAUUGA